Molecule: ribosomal RNA, 462 nt
Filed under: uncultured bacterium
Lineage: Bacteria
Description: bacterial SSU rRNA
Rfam family: Bacterial small subunit ribosomal RNA
Source: RNAcentral
GAUGAACGUUGGCGGUGUGCCUAAUACAUGCAAGUCGAACGGAGACUGUAGCAAUACUGUCUUAGUGGCGAACGGGUGAGUAACGCGUUGGUGAUCUGCCUCGAAGUGUGGAAUAACCUCCCGAAAGGGAAGCUAAUACCGCAUGGUUUCAUUUGGAUUAGAUGCCAGAUGAGCAAAGGCGAAAGUCGCUUCGGGAGGGGCUUGCGUCCCAUCAGCUAGUUGGUAGGGUAAUGGCCUACCAAGGCAAUGACGGGUAGGGGACCUGAGAGGGUGGCCCCCCACAAUGGAACUGAAACACGGUCCAUACACCUACGGGUGGCAGCAGUAGGGAAUAUUGGUUAAUGUGCGAAAGCGCGAACCAGCAACGCCGCGUGCACGAUGAAGGCCUUCGGGUUGUAAAGUGCUUUUUGAGGGGAGUGAGGAAGGACAGUACCCUCAGAAUAAGUCUCGGCCAACUACGUG